CGCUGCCCCGCUCGGCCCCGCGCCGCGCAUGCGCCGCCCCCGCUGAGGGGACGCUGAGGGGACGCUGAGGGGGGCUGAGGGCAGGGCGCUGGGGCUGGUGCGGGGCGAGGCGUUAGCGGCAGGCAGCGGGAGGAAGGGGGCAGCCCCGGCUCAGCCGCUGUCCCGCCGCCUUCCUUCAGUCACACACAGUGCGGAGAUUUGAAGGAAAAAGCCGCCCCGACCCGCGCCGGUGCGCUGUGGGCACAACCCGUGCCGGUGCGCUGUCUGCCUCGACAUCGGUAACAUCACUGAGGCGGCGGCAGGAGAAUGAAAAGUAUGGCCUGGAAACUGGUGAGUCAUCUGAGGGAAUCAGUGGACUGUUCUCACAAAGCUGAUAAUCUGGACACACGAAAGCGGAGCGCUGGUAGUACCGACAUCCUGGGCCUCCUGGGUCCUGGCAGCAGCCUGGCUACAGCAACAGUGGAGCCCAGAUGAGCUACUGCUGCUUGAGGUGUGUGUGUGUGGGGGAAAUUAUCCUGGUGAAUCUGUGUGCUAAUUCAGCUAGACUAUUUCCCCUACCCAAACCAUGUUCUUGAAAACUAUCACUUUAUUGUGCUAUCCAUUGUGACUUUUCAGAUUUCUGUGUAGACAUUCCCCAUGGACAGAUCCCUUCCUAAUCUUUUCUCCUGUAAAUAGAUUGAGC
Molecule: long non-coding RNA, 682 nt
Filed under: Anas platyrhynchos platyrhynchos (common mallard)
Lineage: Eukaryota; Metazoa; Chordata; Aves; Anseriformes; Anatidae
Description: lncRNA (ENSAPLG00000018506.1)
Source: RNAcentral